UGGGGAAUAUUGGGCAAUGGGCGCAAGCCUGACCCAGCAACGCCGCGUGAAGGAAGAAGGCCCUCGGGUUGUAAACUUCUUUUAACAGGGACGAAACAAAUGACGGUACCUGUUGAAUAAGCCACGGCUAACUACGUGCCAGCAGCCGCGGUAAUACGUAGGUGGCAAGCGUUAUCCGGAUUUACUGGGUGUAAAGGGCGUGUAGGCGGGGAAGCAAGUCAGAUGUGAAAUUCCAGGGCUCAACCCUGGAACUGCAUUUGAAACUGUUUUCUUGAGUGAUGGAGAGGCAGGCGGAAUUCCGUGUGUAGCGGUGAAAUGCGUAGAUAUACGGAGGAACACCAGUGGCGAAGGCGGCCUGCUGGACAUUAACUGACGCUGAGGCGCGAAAGCGUGGGGAGCAAACAGGAUUAGAUACC
This 416-nucleotide ribosomal RNA is filed under the name uncultured bacterium. RNAcentral describes it as "bacterial SSU rRNA". It matches the Rfam family "Bacterial small subunit ribosomal RNA", at positions 355 to 786 of the family's 1533-position model. The record is from RNAcentral.